This is a long non-coding RNA of Lolium rigidum, 287 nucleotides long. RefSeq lists it as uncharacterized. Lineage: Eukaryota; Viridiplantae; Streptophyta; Magnoliopsida; Poales; Poaceae. The transcript is spliced from 3 exons. The record is from RefSeq and is a predicted model, not a curated record.
CAGCAGGUGGAGCAGUAGUGGAUGGGGUCUUCGUGUUCAUCACAGAGGUGGAGAUGAGCUCAAACUGUUAGUGGUCAAAGCAUGGGAAGGGAGCAAAGAGCAAGGCCGGAAACAUGGGUAUGCAGAUAUCAUGCAUCCUCUCUUGGGAGAAGACCAAGAAAGCCACAUGGAUAAUCUGGCUUAUUGAAGUAAGGUAGUGAUAUUGUUCCCUACAACCCUUAUCUGUACUUUCACUCCUGGUGUGAAAGCUGGUGGAAAUGUAUGGCUUUAAUCGUUUGUUGCUCCAC